GUAGAUGUCUUUGAAGUGGGCUUGUUUGGUAGAUAAUAAGAUGGUCUCAGAUAAUAGACCUGAAAGGGUCUUAAAUACUAAGCCACCAACAGAAGAUGCAUAAGCUAUAUUUACCAGGCUUUACUAAGACAGAUAUUUAAGUGUCACGGGUCUCUGUACCUUCUUCCCAUUUGUUUUCCCAAAGCUUUGGUAAACAUCUGCCUUGUCCCUGCUGGGUAAAGCCACUGUGAACCAUAUGAGAAUGCCUGGAUGUGGUGAUGAGCAUCUGCCCUGGUGGCCAAACGUGGAUAAUCUUCUAUUGUUGAAAAGAAGUGGCGAUUUCCUCAUAAUACUUUGCAAUAACAACCUAGAGCCUAAUGCUUUAUCCCUCUGAAAAAAUCCCAAUAAUUGCCUAUAUAUCUGUGAUCCAUUAGUUUAUCCAGUCCAUUGGUAAAGCUAUUUAUAAUUUCCAUUUCUACUGUCUCUGCCUCCUAGGAUAACACAUCCAUAAUUUUACUAUUUCUUAAAGCAGGACUACAUUUAUUUGUCCUCAGUUUGCUUUUUCAAGCUUCAAGGGAUACUCCCUUACCCUAGGAUGACAAAAUUUAGUGGAUAAAUAUUUGGUGAGUUCUUUUUGAUCUAUAUAAAACAAGUGUGUGUACACAUAUAUACAUAAGUAUAUAUGCACAUAUAUAUCCUCAACAUAACAUUUUCAUAUUGAAUUGUACAUUGUUGUGGUUGUAGUUUAAGCUUUUUAAAUAUAGUAUUCCUCACCUCAUUCUCAACCCCCUUAUCUUUAACAUUUUAUAUUGUCCUACUCUUUAACCUGAUAUAGUCAGAUACACUGAAUUCUAAGACCAUCAAAAUGUAUUUGAAAUAAAUUUGUUUGAAAACAUUCCUGUAAUAAAUAAGCUUAGUUAUCAGAAAUACUCUGAACAUCAACAUGUAACAAUAAUUUUCAUUAGAUUUUUCUUUCUUUAAAAUGUGAAAGAGAAAUAUAUCUUAUCCAUAUCUGUGAUGACUGCAACAACAAUAGAAAUGGUAGCUUAAAUUCCAUAUUUAUAGGGACAUAUGAAUAUUCUUGUAUUAGUCACAUGAUUUAUGAAUAGUAUAUUCUGUUGGGGUUAAAAGAAUGUGGAGCCUAAAGGCACAAUUACAUUUUAAUUCUAAUUUCUUUCAAGGGGUUUUCAUUUACAUUACAAGUUUGUCAUCUGCGGAGACAAGGCAGCUCUUGUCUGGGAAGUGUCUGGUUUUAAUUUGGUAUGUUAUAAACUGUAAGGCAAGGUGGGAAUGGAUAGAAAACUGGAUCAGGAAUUGUUAAAACCUGUGGUGAGUAGCAUUAUGCCGUGGCCGGGCUUUGCAGCCCCAAAUCAGCUUUGAUCUGGGCUCUGCCAUUUGACAAACAAUUCACUGUACUUGGGCAAAUCACAUCCCCUCUCUAAACCUUAAGCAACCUUAUUUGUGAAUUGAGGGCUGUGGGGAGAGUUCAGGGAGAGUAGCCAGAGAAGCACUUGCAUGACCAGCGUGCACAGCGGGUUCUCUUCUCAGUGACAAUUGUCCUGGCUCUACCACGAGCUCUGAGAUGCCACGUUAGUCACAACCUGUAAAGGCGUCAAUUUCUUUAUUUGCUAAAAGGUUAGUUUGCGGAAAUUCUAAAUUCCCUUUUAAUAUUGCAUUUUAUACUCAUACCUGAAAGGGACUUGUGUUCACCAUAGCCGUCUCCUCUUGUUUCAGUUUAGCCAUUCUCCACUAAGUCCUCCAUGGCCACCACGCAGCCACACCUUCAGACACCAAGACAAGUCCUCCUUCUCCGUGUCCCACAGUGCCUUGUCUCCUGAGAUGACAAGCUCCUUGGCACCAGAGAUGGUAUCUUUCUCAUCUUUGCCUCCUCGGAGAUACAGUACACUAUACACUGUACAGUGCAUAGUACACAGGAGAAGAGGCACAAGAAUGUGGAAUAUGUGACCCAUGUACAUGAAGAUAUUCCUGGUUCACUCAAAAGUACGAUUUUGAGAAGCCCACCUAGAGUCAGAAGGCCCUUGAAAGAUGCAGACCCUCAACUUUGGACUUCCCAGCCUCUAGAACUGUAAGAAAUAAAUCUCUGUUCUUUGCAAAUUACUUGAUCUCAGGUAUUCUGUUAAGAUAGGUGGUAUUGUCCAGCAUCUCCUUAAUAUGCAACCCAUGGGCUUCCUCACACUGUUGGGUCUCUGGGGCAGAAUCCUCAAUGAGCCAUUUGGAUUAAAAAGCCCUGGAGUAUAGCCUGGCUUGCGAUCUGAUAAUGUAGAUAAUUUCUCAUGGAAAUUUUGGUAGAGACUAAAUCCCCAGAAGUGCUUAAGUUGAGAAAGAAGGUGUUUGAUAUCCAAGGUGCAUUUAAACAAAAGACCCAAGCCUAAUGUGGAAGGUGUUCUUUCCCUCAUUGGAGUCCAGGGGACACCCUGCAGACAUAAUGUAAUUACACAGACAUGCAUCCUUUACCAUGUUGCAGACCCACCUCUGAUAUUGGUAAAGCAAUAAUGCUGAUAUCAGGAAGAGCAGUAAGGCUUUCUCAGCUGAUACAGCAAUUUAAGGUUUGCACUCCAUAUCUGACACUGCCAUAAGUACUAGAAAUACAAAGAUGAGUACAAUAGUUUUGUGUUCCAGGAGGUCAUAUCUCCUGGGGGAGAUAAACAUAGAAUACAAUAUAGGAUGUAUUGGAUAAAAAGUAAAAGAAUAAUGAUUGAAGUAAAUAAGAAUAAAGUGCAGCAGUGAUCAUGGAUGGGUACAGAGGGGAUCAGGAAAAAAAUUAUAAAGGAAGACAUGCUUGAUGUAGAUCUUGAAAGAUGAGUAGAGAUUUUUCCAAACACCUGAAAAAGAAGAGCCACAAGGAAACACAGCAUGUUUGGAAAAGUCUGAGGAAUUCUGUGUUGCUGGAGCAUAAGCUUAAUAGUCCAAGAAGCGAGAAGGAGAGGCCCUCUGGGGAUAAGGGGAAGCAACCAGAAUUGGAAAGCCUGGCAGGCUGUGCCAAGGCAUUUGUACUUUAUCUUACAUGUGAUGGAGAGCCAUUCAAGCCUUUUGAGCAGGGGGAAAAGAUUAUUAUAUUUGCAUUUUAAAAGUUGAUGGUGGUGUGGUGUGUGAAAAAUGAAGUGGAAACAAGCAAAACUAGCAUCAGGGAGGCCAACUGGGAAACUAAACACAGUGACCCAUUUCAGUGAUAAGGAGGCCUGUUUGUGGGGUGGAACUGAGAAGAUAAAUUAUGAAAGACCUCAAGGAAGCAUAUCAUCAAUUUUCAGGAUAUGAGAGACCACUGCAACAAAUAAUACUUUGAAUGGAAUGCACGAGUGUAGUCGGGGGGAGGGAGUUGGAAGCCAGUGGACAGAGGAAGAACUACAAAGUUAACUCAGGAAAUUUGAUUCGGCUUUCACACUUUCCACUCUGUCCACAGCUGCUCCUCUGCUUCCCUUCCCUCCCAGCUGCUCUGCCAAGGUAUCAGUCCUCAUUAUCUACUGCCUCCCUGAAGCAUCUGACACCAUGAAAAUCUCCCUGCUGGAAAUAUUUUCUCUCCUUAGCAGCCAUGACACCACACUCUAUUGGUUUCUUUCCCUUUUAUUUGGGUGCUGCUUAUGAUUUUUUAUUAGCUCAUUUUUCUCUGCCUAGUUCCUUCAGAUUUAUCCUAGACCUCUUUCUCUACUUACAUAUUUACCAUGCAAUCCCAUUCAUUUCCAUGUCUCUAAUAUCCAUGUUCAUGCCAGGGACCUCAAAAUAUGUAUUCCCAGGAAAGAUCUGUCUUCAGAAUCUUAUUUCUAUAUGUGAGACUACCUACUUGAUCUUCUCUUUUGAUAUCCCAUAGGUACCUCAACUAAACAUAGCAAAAACCUCAAAAUGAUUAUCACCACCUCUGUCUAGCUCACACUUGUUCCUUUCCCUCUCUUUCUCAUGGGUGUAAGACACAUUCUUUACCACAUAUCUGGAAACCAUCCUUGACUCAUCGUUGUGCCUUAGCAACCACAUCUGAUCAAUCACAAAGUCCUCUUCAUUCUACUUAUGAAUUGCCUCCAAAAUCCAUCUAUUUUCUCUCCAUUCUUACUGCUGCUAUUACAGGACAGGUCAUUGCUGUCUAAAAUCCUAUAUGACUGCACCUGAUCUCUUUGACUACCAUCCUGUGAUAGAUUACCUAUAGACUCUCUUACAUGCUGGUUCUUCUUCCUGAAACGUUAUUAUUACACCUUCUCCCACCAACUUUGAUAUUUCCAACUACUAUUCAUUCCCCUAGUUUUAGCUCAUUCAUUACUUUUUGCUAGGAACCUUUCUCGACCCUCUCCUCCCUACUUAGUUGUCACUCAAAUGAGUUCCCACAAUACUCUGUUUAAAAAGUUUUACUCUCUUGCUAUGCUUACAUCAUAAAGAUGGCCUAUCUCAUUCCUUGCUGUAUCGCCAGUGCCUAACACAGUGACUCCAUGCUUAAUAAAUAUUUAUGGAAUGAACACAUAAAUAUAUUCAAGUAAUUUUAUUGAAAUAUAACAUGCAUAAAGAAAAGAGCAUAGAGAAGCACACGUCCCAACAAAUGAAAUAUCACAAAGUAAACUCAUGGGUGUAAACCAAUUCAAAGAUAGAACACCCCAGAAGCCCUUCGUAUAACCAACCCCAAUUAUUAACCGCCUCCUCUUUUCCAAAGGUCAUUUUUACUCUGUCUAUCAUAAUAGCUGAGUUUUGCCUGUCUUUGAAAUCAAUAUAAAUAUAAAUAUACUCUUUUGCAUAUGGUCUUCUCACUAAAUGUUUGUGAGAUUGAUCCAUGUUAUUGCAUAUAACAGUUCUUUCAUUUUCAUUGCUAUCUUGGUUUAUCACUGCAUGAAUAUGCCAUAAUUUACCAAAAUUUGUUCAUUCCACUUUUAAAUAUCAAUAAAGUUGUUUUCGAUGUGAGACUAUUAUAUAUAAUAUUGCUAUGAACAUUUAUUUAUAUGCUGUUUAUA
This 4925-nucleotide long non-coding RNA is filed under the name Homo sapiens (human). Its description in RNAcentral is "HSALNT0392703". The record is from RNAcentral. Lineage: Eukaryota; Metazoa; Chordata; Mammalia; Primates; Hominidae.